Molecule: ribosomal RNA, 429 nt
Filed under: Gemmatimonadota bacterium
Lineage: Bacteria; Pseudomonadati; Gemmatimonadota
Description: Gemmatimonadetes bacterium partial 16S ribosomal RNA
Rfam family: Bacterial small subunit ribosomal RNA
Source: RNAcentral
UAGGGAAUCUUCGGCAAUGGACGAAAGUCUGACCGAGCAACGCCGCGUGAGUGAAGAAGGUUUUCGGAUCGUAAAACUCUGUUGUUAGAGAAGAACAAGGACGUUAGUAACUGAACGUCCCCUGACGGUAUCUAACCAGAAAGCCACGGCUAACUACGUGCCAGCAGCCGCGGUAAUACGUAGGUGGCAAGCGUUGUCCGGAUUUAUUGGGCGUAAAGCGAGCGCAGGCGGUUUCUUAAGUCUGAUGUGAAAGCCUUCGGCUUAACCGGAGAAGUGCAUCGGAAACCAGGAGACUUGAGUGCAGAAGAGGACAGUGGAACUCCAUGUGUAGCGGUGAAAUGCGUAGAUAUAUGGAAGAACACCAGUGGCGAAGGCGGCUGUCUGGUCUGUAACUGACGCUGAGGCUCGAAAGCAUGGGUAGCGAACAGG